This 425-nucleotide ribosomal RNA is filed under the name uncultured bacterium. RNAcentral describes it as "bacterial SSU rRNA". It matches the Rfam family "Bacterial small subunit ribosomal RNA", at positions 359 to 776 of the family's 1533-position model. The record is from RNAcentral.
GAAUCUUCCACAAUGGACGAAAGUCUGAUGGAGCAAUGCCGCGUGAGCGAAGAAGGUUUUCGGAUCGUAAAGCUCUGUUGUAAGGGAAGAACACGUACGGGAGUAACUGCCCGUGCCAUGACGGUACCUUAUUAGAAAGCCACGGCUAACUACGUGCCAGCAGCCGCGGUAAUACGUAGGUGGCAAGCGUUGUCCGGAAUUAUUGGGCGUAAAGCGCGCGCAGGCGGUUCUUUAAGUCUGAUGUGAAAGCCCACGGCUCAACCGUGGAGGGUCAUUGGAAACUGGAGAACUUGAGUACAGAAGAGGAAAGCGGAAUUCCACGUGUAGCGGUGAAAUGCGUAGAGAUGUGGAGGAACACCAGUGGCGAAGGCGGCUUUCUGGUCUGUAACUGACGCUGAGGCGCGAAAGCGUGGGGAGCAAACAGG